AUGUGGCUAGGUUUCAGGCACGGUGGCACCUCCAUCGUAGGCGCGGCUCUGGCAACCCGGGGGCUCCUCCCCGACUCUUACCUCGCCCCCGCAUUCAACAAAGCCCCUUGGAUGGUGCUCCUCUCCCCGGUAGCCAUAGGGUGCUCGAGCUCCUCCUCCACACGCGCCAGGUGUUCUUCCUCGACCCGGACAGUGAGGGAUUCCUUCUGGGCAUAUACGACGACACUGACAAGAUGGCACUUGCUUGUCACCUUCUGCAUGCUUCACACAGCGCAGCGCCUGCACUUCUUUGAGCCAAAGCCAAUCGACGCGCAGAUUGUCAUCUCAUUUGGGUUUCUCAAUGGGAUCUCCAUUGGCCUCCACAACCUUUGCCUUGGCUUCUACCAGAUGACCAAGCUGGCUAUUAUACCGUUCACCAUGCUCUUGGAGACCAUCUUUCUGAGCAAGAAGUUCAGGUUGAUGUGUGCCGCUCAGAUGGAACCUUCGCCAGGGCCGCUAUUCCCAGCGGUGCAUCAACAAGUUCUGGAUGUCGCUGGGUUUAUUAAGCUGUUACUUGCCACUGUUCAAUUUUUUGAAAGAACAAUGUUGUAUUGA
Molecule: ribosomal RNA, 594 nt
Filed under: Triticum aestivum (bread wheat)
Lineage: Eukaryota; Viridiplantae; Streptophyta; Magnoliopsida; Poales; Poaceae
Description: partial small subunit ribosomal RNA
Source: RNAcentral